UAGCUAGUUGGUGAGGUAAAGGCUUACCAGGGCGACGAUCUGUAGCGGGUCUGAGAGGAUGAUCCGCCACACUGGAACUGAGACACGGUCCAGACUCCUACGGGAGGCAGCAGUGGGGAAUUUUGGACAAUGGGGGCAACCCUGAUCCAGCCAUGCCGCGUGAGUGAAGAAGGCCUUCGGGUUGUAAAGCUCUUUCGGCCGGGAAGAAAUCGCAUGGGCCAAUACCCUGUGUGGAUGACGGUACCGGAAUAAGAAGCACCGGCUAACUACGUGCCAGCAGCCGCGGUAAUACGUAGGGUGCGAGCGUUAAUCGGAAUUACUGGGCGUAAAGCGUGCGCAGGCGGUUUUGUAAGACAGGCGUGAAAUCCCCGGGCUUAACCUGGGAACUGCGUUUGUGACUGCAAGGCUAGAGUACGGCAGAGGGGGGUGGAAUUCCACGUGUAGCAGUGAAAUGCGUAGAGAUGUGGAGGAACACCAAUGGCGAAGGCAGCCCCCUGGGUCGAUACUGACGCUCAUGCACGAAAGCGUGGGUAGCAAACAGGAUUAGAUACCCUGGUAGUCCACGCCCUAAACUAUGUCAACUAGGUGUUGGGUGGGUAAAACCAUUUAGUACCGUAGCUAACGCGUGAAGUUGACCGCCUGGGGAGUACGGCCGCAAGGUUAAAACUCAAAGGAAUUGACGGGGACCCGCACAAGCGGUGGAUGAUGUGGAUUAAUUCGAUGCAACGCGAAAAACCUUACCUACCCUUGACAUGCCAGGAACUUGCCAGAGAUGGCUUGGUGCCCGAAAGGGAGCCUGGACACAGGUGCUGCAUGGCUGUCGUCAGCUCGUGUCGUGAGAUGUUGGGUUAAGUCCCGCAACGAGCGCAACCCUUGUCGUUAAUUGCCAUCAUUUAGUUGGGCACUUUAACGAGACUGCCGGUGACAAACCGGAGGAAGGUGGGGAUGACGUCAAGUCCUCAUGGCCCUUAUGGGUAGGGCUUCACACGUCAUACAAUGGUCGGUACAAAGGGUUGCCAAGCCGCGAGGCGGAGCCAAUCCCAGAAAGCCGAUCGUAGUCCGGAUUGCAGGCUGCAACUCGCCUGCAUGAAGUCGGAAUCGCUAGUAAUCGUGGAUCAGCAUGUCACGGUGAAUACGUUCCCGGGUCUUGUACACACCGCCCGUCACACCCUGGGAGCGGGUUCCGCCAGAAGUAGGUAGCCUAACCGCAAGGGGGGCGCUUACCACGGCGGGGUUCGUGACUGGGGUGAAGUCGGAACAAGGUAGCCGUAGGGGAACCUGCGGCUG
This 1287-nucleotide ribosomal RNA is filed under the name metagenome. Its description in RNAcentral is "bacterial SSU rRNA". It matches the Rfam family "Bacterial small subunit ribosomal RNA", at positions 242 to 1520 of the family's 1533-position model. The record is from RNAcentral.